Lycium barbarum (goji berry) is the source of this 399-nucleotide long non-coding RNA. RefSeq lists it as uncharacterized. The transcript is spliced from 3 exons. The record is from RefSeq and is a predicted model, not a curated record. NCBI's taxonomy places the organism in Eukaryota, Viridiplantae, Streptophyta, Magnoliopsida, Solanales, Solanaceae.
GAGGGCCAAAGUGUGUAAUUAAAUAAAUAAAGGGGGCUAUGUAUCCAUCAUCCAAUACACUAGAAGUUUCAAGAAAUCAAAGAGAGAAAGAGAGAGCAAGAGGGGACGGCUAGAGCAAGAGAGAAAAAGAAAAAAAAAAUCUUGGAGCCUUAAUCUUUGGUUUAAAAUUUUCUUUCAUCUUGAAUUCUUGCUAAGUGCAAGACUCUCUACAACUUGGUAUAAUUAUUUUGGCAAGAAAGACACUUUGGUGGCAAGUGAAGAAUUUGAAGAAAAGAUUUUGUGGAGCCAAGAGCUUGAUUUCGGAUUUGCGUAGAGAGCGGGCAAGGUACAGACACAGGUGAUCCACCACUGUAGGCUCCACUUCCUGCUAUUUUCGGAGUACUUCCUUUUGAUCCGGAG